CGGGGGGAGCAAGCGUUGUUCGGAUUUACUGGGCGUAAAGGGCGCGUAGGCGGCCACCGCAAGUCGACUGUGAAAUCUCCGGGCUUAACCCGGAAAGGUCAGCCGAUACUGCGGGGCUAGAGUGCAGAAGGGGCAACUGGAAUUCUCGGUGUAGCGGUGAAAUGCGUAGAUAUCGAGAGGAACACCUGCGGCGAAGGCGGGUUGCUGGGCUGACACUGACGCUGAGGCGCGGAAGCUAGGGGAGCGAACGGGGUUAGAUACCCCGGUAGUCCUAGCCUUAAACGAUGAAUGCUUGGUGUCUGGGGUUCUAUAGUCCCCGGGUGCCGUCGCUAACGCUUUAAGCAUUCCGCCUGGGGAGUACGGUCGCAAGACUG
RNAcentral lists this ribosomal RNA (374 nucleotides) under uncultured organism. Its description in RNAcentral is "bacterial SSU rRNA". It matches the Rfam family "Bacterial small subunit ribosomal RNA", at positions 526 to 896 of the family's 1533-position model. The record is from RNAcentral.